AUGAACGCUGGCGGCGUGCCUAACACAUGCAAGUCGAACGGAAGAUUAUCGCUGAUGAAGCUUCGGCAGAAUCUUGAUGAUCUUAGUGGCGGACGGGUGAGUAACGCGUGGGCAACCUGCCUCGUACUGGGGGAUAACAGCUGGAAACGACUGUUAAUACCGCAUAAGCGCACGGUGUCGCAUGACACAGUGUGAAAAACUCCGGUGGUACGAGAUGGGCCCGCGUCAGAUUAGCCAGUUGGUGGGGUAACGGCCUACCAAAGCAACGAUCUGUAGCCGGACUGAGAGGUCGGACGGCCACAUUGGGACUGAGACACGGCCCAAACUCCUACGGGAGGCAGCAGUGGGGGAUAUUGCACAAUGGGCGAAAGCCUGAUGCAGCGACGCCGCCGUGAGUGAAGAAGUAUUUCGGUAUGUAAAGCUCUAUCAGCAGGGAAGAAAGACCCAUUAAGGGAGAUGACGGUACCUGACUAAGAAGCCCCGGCUAACUACGUGCCAGCCGCCGC
RNAcentral lists this ribosomal RNA (506 nucleotides) under uncultured bacterium. Its description in RNAcentral is "bacterial SSU rRNA". It matches the Rfam family "Bacterial small subunit ribosomal RNA", at positions 29 to 518 of the family's 1533-position model. The record is from RNAcentral.